RNAcentral lists this ribosomal RNA (253 nucleotides) under uncultured bacterium. Its description in RNAcentral is "partial 16S ribosomal RNA". It matches the Rfam family "Bacterial small subunit ribosomal RNA", at positions 524 to 776 of the family's 1533-position model. The record is from RNAcentral.
UACAGAGGGUGCGAGCGUUAAUCGGAAUUACUGGGCGUAAAGCGUGCGUAGACGGUUAUCUAAGUCGGAUGUGAAAGCCCCCGGCUCAACUGGGGAGGGUCAUUCGAUACUGAUCGACUCGAAGGCAGGAGAGGGAAGCGGAAUUCCCGGUGUAGUGGUGAAAUGCGUAGAUAUCGGGAGGAACACCAGUGGCGAAGGCGGCUUCCUGGCCUGUUCUUGACGCUGAGGCGCGAAAGCUAGGGGAGCAAACGGG